CAGUCACCUGGGCGCAUUCUCUGUGGAGCCCUGGCUGUGGCCUCGCAGAUGGACAGCCGGAAACAGUGGGCCGCAGAAAUGUGAGAUGACCUCAGCCACCCAGCCACCAGGCCCCAAGGCUUGUCCAGACAAGGCCUGCGGGAAGGAAGGUGUUUCCUCAUGAUUGGCCCCUGGCGGGGCUGCAGGGAGGCCGCUCUGUGCCCACUGGAAGGAGCAGAAACGGCUUCGGGGCCCGAGCCAGCACGUGGCGUUCCAGCUCUUUCCUGUGGCCCAGCCCGGAGGGGUGGACACCCAGCUGCCUAACAGUGCAAGCAGAGGCAAAAUUGCACCUGUGACGGCAGUCCAAGGGGACACGCAGUGCCACUCAUUCGGUGGUAAAAGAAGGGCCCUGUCUUGGUUCAGAAGGCAGGAGGGGCCGUCCCUGAGGAGGGAGCGUGACAGCUGAGACCUGAAGGAUAAGCACAGCUGAUGUGGUCGGAGGGCAGGAAAGAAUUUCCCAGGCACAGGGAAUGGUGCGUGCAAAGGCCCUGAGGCGGGAAUGAAGGUCUAAGGACGACAGAAAGUACCCCAGGGCUCCCAAGGGAGCGGCCACGCUGCACAGGGGUUCCCAAGCUGACCUGCCCACAGAACCCCUGCUGCAGGAACGUCUCACAGAAGCGGGCGCCCCGACUUCCUCAGGAAACACGGAGUGAGAUGGGUGGGCCAAAGCCGGGAUGGAGUUCUCACUCAGACACUGGUUUGCCCUGGGACCCUAUGGAGUCUCUUCAGGGUCACACAGGGCCUCUCAUCCCUGGGUGUUUAGGGAGGAAGGGGCCAGGGGUGCCCCGUGGAAAUAGGGCUCCCUGCCUGGGGCCACGCAAUCAUGGCAGUAGGAGACGCACCCUCGUCGGGGAGAGGUGGCCAGAGCGCCCCCCCCCCCGGAGUGGACGGAAGCCCCCUCACGUACGACCUGCACAGAGAGGACAGCUGGGGGGUCAUACUGGCUUCGCAGAACAGCCGAGGUUUGUCCCUCCCCCCACUUCCCAAGGCCACGGUCAGGUCGGCCAGGGGCUCGCUCAGGCGCUGUGGAGGCCAACGCCAUGCCGUGGCUCCAGGCGGGAGAGGGGGCUAGAAGCUGUGACACCUCAUUUUAAGGGGCCACCCAUUAAUUAAUUAGGCCCAAUGAAUAAUUCAUGCUGCCUUGGGUAUAUUAAUAGCAUAUUUAUAUGGCGUGCUAUGGAUAGUAUACAUUCUCGUCUGAACACUUCACAAAUAAUUCAUGACCCCGCUCCUUUCCUGGGCUCCGGGAGAACCUGGCCAGUGCUGAGGCUAGGGCUCGUGGGUUGCUUCCAACAGCCAAAUUUUACAUUUCAUUAUAAAUGGCUUUGCUGGGCAUGUCGGUAACUUUUACAUUUCCAUCCACUUUAUUAUUAAUGGCUUUCCUGAACUGUAGCAGCCAGGCGUCGCGCACAAUGCGUUAUAAAUAUUUGAUCCAGCAUCUAUAGUCCGCCAUUUAUCAUUUAUAACGGGUUACAAAAACAUUAUAAAACAUUUACCGCACAUUUAUAGAUCAUUU
This is a long non-coding RNA of Lynx canadensis (Canada lynx), 1555 nucleotides long. RefSeq lists it as uncharacterized. The transcript is spliced from 3 exons. Lineage: Eukaryota; Metazoa; Chordata; Mammalia; Carnivora; Felidae. The record is from RefSeq and is a predicted model, not a curated record.